UACGUAGGGGGCUAGCGUUGUCCGGAUUUAUUGGGCGUAAAGAGCUCGUAGGUGGUUCGGUAAGUCGGAUGUGAAAUCUCCAGGCUCAACCUGGAGGGGUCAUUCGAUACUGCCGUGACUGGAGUUCGGUAGAGGAGUGUGGAAUUCCUGGUGGAGCGGUGAAAUGCGCAGAGAUCAGGAGGAACACCCGUAGCGAAGGCGGCACUCUGGGCCGAUACUGACACUGAGGAGCGAAAGCGUGGGGAGCGAACAGG
RNAcentral lists this ribosomal RNA (254 nucleotides) under uncultured bacterium. Its description in RNAcentral is "partial 16S ribosomal RNA". It matches the Rfam family "Bacterial small subunit ribosomal RNA", at positions 524 to 776 of the family's 1533-position model. The record is from RNAcentral.